This 199-nucleotide long non-coding RNA is filed under the name Elaeis guineensis (African oil palm). RNAcentral's name for it is "long non-coding RNA (EGUI_LNC019155)". The record is from RNAcentral. Lineage: Eukaryota; Viridiplantae; Streptophyta; Magnoliopsida; Arecales; Arecaceae.
GAAGAACCAGUUUUUCUUUGUUUCUUCUUCUCCCUGGGGUUUCCCUUCUCAUUGGGGCGCGCCCCGAACCGAGGCGAACGAGAACAGCCGGAUGGAGGCGGAUGAUCGGGAGGACUUCCACCGACUCAAGGACAUGUCGAUCCCGAAGCAGAGGGAGCUUGUUACCGAACAAGCCCUCUAUGACGCUGGCCUGAGCUUG